RNAcentral lists this non-coding RNA (26 nucleotides) under Homo sapiens (human). The record is from RNAcentral. Lineage: Eukaryota; Metazoa; Chordata; Mammalia; Primates; Hominidae.
UAGGCUAUCCACCUACCACAGAAAGC